GCACACAAGUUUCCCUAUUUCGGAACCCUGCAUAUUUCUUAUUUUCUACAACUCCAAUUAAGGCCGCAGGGAAUUUUGAAAUAAUUGUCUGGGUUUAAUUAUUGCAUUUCUCCUACAUUUACAUCCAAAUGUUACCUCUUUUACAAAGCCUAAGGAAGAUGUUUCGGAAGUAUAAGAAGAAAAAUUGUUUUAUGAUUCCUAUGGCAAUGAUCUUCUGAACUUUGAUACAUGUUCAGCAACACUCAGACUUUGCUGAUGGAAUGGCUGCCAUCUCACCAGACAUUGCUAUGAUGGAUCAUGCUGUUUAAGUGGGGACUAGAAUCUCAGUCCUCGAGCAAAAGCGACCGUUAAGCAAGAUCAUGUGAUUAUUUCACUCAACAACAGCAAUCCCGUCACUCCUGGUUGCGAAGGAGUGGUUAAGUGGAUGGAGGCCCAGGUAAGGAGAAUAAGGUGCCUUGGAAGUGUGUGCGGGAGAGUCCUGAGUUGGGGGGAGAAAUUCA
Long non-coding RNA from Ahaetulla prasina, 500 nucleotides. RefSeq lists it as uncharacterized. The transcript has 4 exons. The record is from RefSeq and is a predicted model, not a curated record. Lineage: Eukaryota; Metazoa; Chordata; Lepidosauria; Squamata; Colubridae.